AUCACAAUGCAUUCCCAUAUCCCCCACCAUUUUCUCAACCCUUGUAAGAUGAACAUUCUCCUCAACCUCUAUCUUAUUAACAUCUUCAGCAGGAUCGAUAGACUCUUCAACACCUUCAGCAAGGGAUAAGGGCAUCAAUGGUGGCCCUAGUUGAGGCACCACUUCAAGUGGUAUAGACUCAUCAGCUUCAACCAAGGCAAGCGAAGGGUCAAAGAACACCUCAUCAUCAGAGUUCGGAUUGUCUACAAUAUCACCAUGAUGCAUUCCUGGAGGGUUUACCGACGCCUCUGGAUCAACAACCAAGUCCAUAUCCAAAGGAUUAAAACAAGUUCUCUCUCUGCUACUCUAACCUUUU
This 355-nucleotide long non-coding RNA is filed under the name Amborella trichopoda. RNAcentral's name for it is "long non-coding RNA (ATRI_LNC005371)". Lineage: Eukaryota; Viridiplantae; Streptophyta; Magnoliopsida; Amborellales; Amborellaceae. The record is from RNAcentral.